RNAcentral lists this non-coding RNA (259 nucleotides) under Sulfurisphaera tokodaii str. 7. The record is from Rfam by way of RNAcentral. Lineage: Archaea; Thermoproteati; Thermoproteota; Thermoprotei; Sulfolobales; Sulfolobaceae.
UUGCUGUGGAGCAACCCAAUGUAUGUGAGUAUCAAUAAAACCUGGUGUAGCAAUUAACCCUUCUCCGGAAAUGAUUUCAGUUGAAGAGCCUAAAACAAAAUUUACACCAUCCAUUGUAAAAGGAUUGCCACCAUGACCAAUCCCAACAAUUAAACCAUCUUUUAUCCCAAUAUCUGCUUUUAUAACUCCUAAUAAAGGGUCGAGAAUUACUACAUUGGUAAUUAUUAAAUCCAUCACCUCUUCCUCCCUAACGUUUGGU